This is a long non-coding RNA of Ananas comosus (pineapple), 1077 nucleotides long. RefSeq lists it as uncharacterized. The transcript has 2 exons. The record is from RefSeq and is a predicted model, not a curated record. Lineage: Eukaryota; Viridiplantae; Streptophyta; Magnoliopsida; Poales; Bromeliaceae.
UAAAAUAUUAAAGAAGAGCUAAUUAAAAAAAAAAUCACAUGGUAUUAAUGUCGUGCAUUUUAAAUCACGAAAUACUAAAGUAAAAAAAAAAAAAUAAAACCGUAUUUGAAAUUUACCUUUUAAACGAUUAUUAUAAUCCUUUUUUUAAGAAAAGUGACAUCAUAUGCGACAGGCGGGAACCAGCUGUACCCCGGGGCCGAACGGGGGCCAUGUGCGCUUAGGAGGUGGUUUCGGGUUUGGACUUUGCCCGGUAUAAAACCUGAUGAGAGCUUUUAGCGGGUCGGAUUUUUUUAAAAUUCUAAUCUGAACCCGAUUAUCCAAUUCACAAUCUAAAUAUUCAUACGUGUUAUAUAGCAUAAAAUCAAUUCGGAUUUGGGUGGAGUUUUUGGGAUUUGGGUCCGAUAAUUAUAAAAUUUAUAUUCGAAUUCAAAUUCGUCGUAUUUUUAUUUUUUAUACUCACAUCCAAAAUUAUAUCUGUUUAGUAUCGAAUAAACAGAUUUUAAAUAUCCGUACUCAUCUACAUUCCUAAGUAGAAGUGUGGGAAUUUUGAUGAGCUGUGCAUGUAUACAUACAUCUUAAAAUUUAUAGAGGUCCAAAGCCUUUUCCUCUUUUGUUCUUUCCUAUUCUUGGAUUAAAACUGUUCAUAGUGUGAGGGCAUGCAACUUUCCCAGGGGUGGCUUUCAAAUGGCUAUUCGAAUUCGCGUGUUCGUGUUCGACAAUCGUGUUUGUCAUGCCAAUUUAAAAACAAAAUCGAAUUACGUCUGCGGAUUGAGUCUUUGCCGAGCCAGAUUCUGUACUUUUCUCGCAAAAGAUGCUUUCAGAAAAGAAACAAACGACGAAAUCAAUGAUUCGAUACAGACGAUCCUCUUAUUUUGGCGCGGUGAUUAUACAUAUGAUCGAUGUUUCCACUACUGUUUAGAGCAGCUGUAUCAAAAAAGAAUGGCGCUAUAUUGCUAGCUAUGUACCUCUCCAUCAAAAAGUGCACAGCGUGUAUGUUUAACUCUAACUGCAUGAUGUUCGAUCCUCUGAUGUAAAUCAAUCGAGAUAUAGCGAAUUGAUCGAGCAUAGAAAGGUCCA